GAUGAACGCUGGCGGCGUGCCUAAUACAUGCGAGUCGAGCGAACGGACGAGAAGCUUGCUUCUCUGAUGUUAGCGGCGGACGGGUGAGUAACACGUGGAUAACCUACCUAUAAGACUGGGAUAACUUCGGGAAACCGGAGCUAAUACCGGAUAUUAUUUUGAACCGCAUGGUUCAAAAGUGAAAGACGGCCUUGCUGUCACUUAUAGAUGGAUCUGCGCGGCAUUAGCUAGUUGGUAAGGUAACGGCUUACCAAGGCAACGAUGCAUAGCCGACCUAAAAGGGUGAUCGGCAAAAGUGGAACUGAGACACGGUCCAGACUCCUACGGGAGGCAGGAGGAGGGAAUGUUCCGCAAUGGGCGAAAGCCUGACGGAGCAACGCCGCGGGAGGGAGGAAGGUCUUCGGAUCGAAAAACUCUAUUAUUAGGAAAGAACAUAUGUGUAAGUAACUGUGCACAUCUAGACGGGACCUAAUCAGAAAGCCACGGCUAACUACGU
RNAcentral lists this ribosomal RNA (496 nucleotides) under uncultured bacterium. Its description in RNAcentral is "partial 16S ribosomal RNA". It matches the Rfam family "Bacterial small subunit ribosomal RNA", at positions 28 to 506 of the family's 1533-position model. The record is from RNAcentral.